AUGUUUUUUUGUAGUCCACAACACUACCUAUUCUUUUGGCUGCAAUGUUCUCAAUUUCUUUCAAAAACUGUUCAUCUAAUACCAUUACAAUUUAGGUUCCAUACUGCUCUGAGUAGUUGCAGUACAAUUGAGCCCCACACGUCUCAUACCAAUAUAGUUUGGGUUCCAUACUUGUUUGAGAGUACUUACAUGUCUCCUUUUCUAUUUAUUUUAUUAGUGUGGUUAGUGUAUAAACAUUUCCUUGGUUGUGAAAUCAGUGAACUACGUUUAACUGCUGCAGAGCCAGGCUCAAAUGUUUUUUUGAGCAUAAAAUGUUCUUUAGUUGUGUUGGAUUUCCUUCCAUACUAUUUUUCGUGUUGA
RNAcentral lists this ribosomal RNA (360 nucleotides) under Triticum aestivum (bread wheat). RNAcentral describes it as "partial small subunit ribosomal RNA". The record is from RNAcentral. Lineage: Eukaryota; Viridiplantae; Streptophyta; Magnoliopsida; Poales; Poaceae.